RNAcentral lists this transfer RNA (77 nucleotides) under Alteromonadaceae bacterium. RNAcentral describes it as "tRNA-Met". It matches the Rfam family "tRNA". From Rfam's summary of the family: Transfer RNA (tRNA) molecules are approximately 80 nucleotides in length. The record is from RNAcentral. Lineage: Bacteria; Pseudomonadati; Pseudomonadota; Gammaproteobacteria; Alteromonadales; Alteromonadaceae.
GGCAAGGUAGCUCAGUUGGUUAGAGCACAGCACCCAUAAUGCUGGGGUCGGCGGUUCGACUCCGCCCCUUGCUACCA